GCAAGUCGAACGGUAGCACAGAGCGCUUGCUCUCGGGUGACGAGUGGCGGACGGGUGAGUAAUGUCUGGGAAACUGCCCGAUGGAGGGGGAUAACUACUGGAAACGGUAGCUAAUACCGCAUAACGUCGCAAGACCAAAGAGGGGGACCUUCGGGCCUCUUGCCAUCGGAUGUGCCCAGAUGGGAUUAGCUAGUAGGUGGGGUAACGGCUCACCUAGGCGACGAUCCCUAGCUGGUCUGAGAGGAUGACCAGCCACACUGGAACUGAGACACGGUCCAGACUCCUACGGGAGGCAGCAGUGGGGAAUAUUGCACAAUGGGCGCAAGCCUGAUGCAGCCAUGCCGCGUGUAUGAAGAAGGCCUUCGGGUUGUAAAGUACUUUCAGCGAGGAGGAAGGCAUUAAGGUUAAUAACCUUAGUGAUUGACGUUACUCGCAGAAGAAGCACCGGCUAACUCCGUGCCAGCAGCCGCGGUAAUACGGAGGGUGCAAAGCGUUAAUCGGAAUUACUGGGCGUAA
This 516-nucleotide ribosomal RNA is filed under the name uncultured Pseudomonadota bacterium. RNAcentral describes it as "bacterial SSU rRNA". It matches the Rfam family "Bacterial small subunit ribosomal RNA", at positions 57 to 563 of the family's 1533-position model. Lineage: Bacteria; Pseudomonadati; Pseudomonadota. The record is from RNAcentral.